GACGAACGCUGGCGGCGUGCUUAACACAUGCAAGUUGAGCGAGGCCCCUCCUUCGGGAGGGUGUCCUAGCGGCGAACGGGUGAGUAACACGUGGGCAACCUGCCCCCGGCUCUGGGAUAACUCCAAGAAAUUGGGGCUAAUACCGGAUAUGACCGCUGACCGCAUGGUCUGGUGGUGGAAAGAUUUAUCGGCUGGGGAUGGGCCCGCGGCCUAUCAGCUUGUUGGUGGGGUAGUGGCCGACCAAGGCGACGACGGGUAGCCGGCCUGAGAGGGUGACCGGCCACACGGGGACUGAGACACGGACCAGACUCCUACGGGAGGCAGCAGUGGGGAAUAUUGCGCAAUGGGCGGAAGCCUGACGCAGCGACGCCGCGUGGGGGAUGACGGCCUUCGGGUUGUAAACCUCUUUCAGCAGGGACGAAGCGAAAGUGACGGUACCUGCAGAAGAAGCACCGGCCAACUACGUGCCAGCCGCCGCCGUAA
This 483-nucleotide ribosomal RNA is filed under the name uncultured bacterium. RNAcentral describes it as "partial 16S ribosomal RNA". It matches the Rfam family "Bacterial small subunit ribosomal RNA", at positions 28 to 523 of the family's 1533-position model. The record is from RNAcentral.